This 496-nucleotide ribosomal RNA is filed under the name uncultured bacterium. Its description in RNAcentral is "bacterial SSU rRNA". It matches the Rfam family "Bacterial small subunit ribosomal RNA", at positions 30 to 507 of the family's 1533-position model. The record is from RNAcentral.
AUGAACGCUAGCGGCAGGCUUAAUACAUGCAAGUUGAGGGGCAGCAUGAUAUACGCGAGUAUAUUGAUGGCGACCGGCGGACGGGUGAGUAAUAGGUAGGAGACCUACCUCAUACAGGGGGAUAGCAUAGAGAAAUCUGUGGUAAUACCCCAUGAGGUUAUAUGAAUAGAGGCAUAUAAUCAAAGCAUAAGCGAUUAUGCGGUAUGAGAGGGGCCUACUGACCAUUAGCUAGUUGGUGAGGUAAGGGCUCACCAAGGCGAAGAUGGUUAGGGGUUUUGAGAGAGAGACCCCCCCACAUUGGAACUGAGAGACGGUCCAGACUCCUACGGGAGGCAGCAGUAGGGAAUAUUGGGCAAUGGGCGAAAGCCUGACCCAGCCAUGCCGCGUGAAGGAAGACGGCCUUAUGGGUUGUAAACUUCUUUACUACGCGAAUAGAGGUUAGUACGAGAUACUAAUAGGAAGGUAGUGUAGUAAAAAAGCACCGGCUAACUCCGUG